GAGAGAGAGAGAGAGAGAGAUAUUAUCUGAUGCCAACAAUUAAUUCAAAACCUUUCAAAUAGCACAUGCCACAAACAAUCCUAUAGUUGAAGGCACAUAACCUGGCUUCUCAGAGACUCAGACACUUUGCCUUCUAUCUCUGACCCAGGCUAUGUUUAGCAUUGGGAUCCUGUCAUUUCAAGCUCUCAGAAGUCACUAUCUUUGGGAAGAAGUGAUGAGUGUAGGUGGCUAUUUUCAGUGGAAACACUCAAAAGGACUUCACUAAGUGGCCUGUCUCGCCAUCCUCCUGAAUCUUGUACUUUAGGAGCACGAAGCACAAGAUGUGGGCAGAUACACGAUUCAAGUAUUGUCAGAGUUAAAGUGAGAGAAGACAUUGCAGGCAAGGCAGGGGGAGGAAGCAGAAGGUAGAAAUUAUUCCCCAAGGAACUGUGAGAUUUACAGAAAUUCCCAGGAAAGCAAAGAGAGAAAGGGUAUUGAAGCAGUAUUAAGCAAGUGCUAGGUGCUGGGUACAUUUUAUUUAAUCCCUAAAGCUUUUUAAAUAGGCCUGCUACUCCUGGUCAUUAUUGCAACAACGUGUCUUGCCUUUUUUAUGCUCUUAGCACAAAGUGACUCUUAAGCACCUGGUCAACUCGGUGAGAAAUGUUCUUUUACGAUCACUGGACAGACUACAAAAUUAAGACUUUAAGAGAGAUUAAGCAAAUUCAUUCCAAAAUCCACAGAUAGAGACUGUUCAAUAGGAUUCUACGGAGUCUCUAUCUACCCAACAUCUAUUCUUCCCUCUGUGUAGGAAGUCAGAGGACUCACGUGAUCACAUUGUCGGGUGUCCCAACAACAAUGCUGGGUCAGGGCCUCGGUGUCUCCCUUACACAGUUUACCCCUCUCACUAUGGAGCACGGUGCCAACACCAGUCCCUGGGGUACAAUGCACUCGAGAAGUGCCUCCCAAAUCUUGAAUUCACAACCCUCUACCCUGUGGGUUUCCCUUUAAGAACACAGAAUACUCCCUGAUGCCCCUCUGGGUGAGAGCAACAUCGGGCCAAGAGAAUUUAGCCAGUGCAUCAUGUUUCCUCACCUACCAACGAAAACCUUUUGCAGAAUGGGAAUGACUGGUACUUGACUUUUUUUUUUUUUAAAGCAAUUAACUAUGGAGCACCAGGAAAGAAUCCUAAUGUUUUUAAGUUUUAUUUUUUGACAUAUAUUUCUAAAUGUAUUCUGUAAUUUCACGCAAGAACACAACAUAUUUGAAUCACAUCCUCACUCCACUGCUCGCUCCUCUCAGCCCUCCCCGCCACCUUCCCCCUCCCAGCUUUGAGUCUUCCCAGCCUUCCCUUCUUGCCUCCCCAACUGAAUUCAGUCAGUGCUGACCAUAUCUGUGGGUGUAGCACUGCUAGCUGGGGAAUGUCCAACCUACUAGCAGACAUCAACUGCCAAGACCUCCUCCUCUGCUGGGGUGGGUAGGAACUCCUAUGCCCUCCCCCAUGAAUAUGGCCCCUGUCUAGGUCCUGUGGGGCAAACAUAGCCACUGUGAGUUCAUGAAAACAGAGUCUCUACCAUAUCUAGAAAAUACUUUCCCUGUAAUAGUCUCCAACCUUCAGUGCUUAGAAUUUUUCCUCCCCUUCUCCCACAGUGGAUGUCUCCCUGAGUUUUCCAUUUGAUUCCCAUGUUAAGAAACAAAUGCUAUAGGUACCAUUUGCAAAGACAAAUGAAAAACCUCCAAAAUCAAGUAAAGGACAGAAACUGUUGAGUGUGACGUAGAAAUUCUGCCACUGAGUCCGUGCACAGUGCUCGGCCCUGGGUACCACGAUAAGUACUUCGCCUGGGCAUCUCAUUCCAGCCUCCCAAUAGCCCAGCUCCUUAGAUUUAGCCACUGAGAUACACACUAGGCUAAGGAUCCUGGCUAAUACAGCACAGCCGGCAUGCAAGGUGUGAGACCACAGCAACAGCCCUGCAAAAGCCUCUUUGAAUUGGCAAGUGACAGAGAACAUGGCCUGAAUUGACAAAGCAUGUGACUUUCAUGAUUGGAAACAUCCUAUUCUUGAGCUCUUUUCCUUCUUUAAAGAUGAUACGAUAUCUAUAGAAAUGUAUUAAUGUAUAAGGAGAUUUUUUUUAAAUGUUGUUUGUUUGUUUAGAAGGCACGCACAAGUGGGGACGUCCUUGUGGAGAUCAGAGGGCAUCAGACGUGUGGAUUCUGGAGAAUCGAACUCAGUCACCAGGUUUUGAGAGAAUCCUAAUGCCUUGAACAUGUUUUGAAGUUUUCUUUUUUUUGACAUAUAUUUUGACACAUGCAAGCACCUUUCUGUUGGGCCGCCACACCACCCUUCAUGUGCUGGUAAGUCUAAUGUUCCACUGAAUGAAGCCAGUUGUCCAGAAGUACACCCAACAGACACUGAGAAUCAAACUCCGAGGGGAUAAGGACGCUUGGAAAUGAAUAAUUAAUAACGUCAACUACCUAGGCAUGCUAAAAACCCAAAAUAGUUGAUCACCUAAGAAGGCCCAGGUUACACAUUCACUUGUUUGUUUAGUCAACAAGUACUUCAUUGUGUGUCCAGCAUUAAUCUUGGCAAUGUUGAUACGACCAAGCAGACACAAAUCCCUGUCCUUUAUGAAGUUUACACUCCGUUGGAAACAGAGAGCAGAGGCACGGGAAGCGAUGACUGUGGCAGCCAUAGGAACUGAGGGGGAAACAAAGCAAACCCAACAAUUGGGAGGCUAAAGGUGGCUUGCAGUGUUAGUGAGGUGGGUACGGGAGACAGCAAACCAGUGAUUUGCUUUCAAAGUACUGAUCUUGGAAAACUUUAAACAUCGCUAUAAGCAUUUAAAAAAGUCAGCUAGCUACAUCAAUAUUGUUGGACAUUUCUUAAUUUUAGGAGUGAGAUGUGAUUUUUUUUAAAUAGACUUUUUUCCAAGGUAAGUUGUAGAGAGAAUCAGAAGGCAAGGUAGAGAAGGACAGAAUAUUUGCGGCACACAGACUAGACCACUGACGUGUUCCUUGUCUGUGUCACCAUGGGACACUGGCUACCGUCUCGGACCUGCCUGCAUUGCCCAGUGAAAUCUAAGCACAUAACUGGAAUCCCAUCUGGAGCCUUCUUCAAAACCAUCAGGCUCUCAGAUUCCUGCUGUCCUUGCUUGACCCUGACCCCGCCCGGAGCCGCAGCUGAGGUAGAGACUGUGAUGUGGUUUGUCUCCCUCACGCGACCGCCCUAACGCAGAGUGCUAACGGCCACCACGCAGGUGCCACCGUGUGUAUGCAAAUGGACAAGAAAAUAAAGCAAGCUAUGACUGAAAACUAGUUUCUAAUACCAAAAUAUGAUGUCUGCUGACUAGGAUGUCAUAUAGCCUUCAGCCUCAUGGCAGCCUCUCCCUGAAGGGAAAUACUUCUGUCUAAGACUUCCUGGGAAGGCCCUAGUUAUAUGAAGAUAACACAAGAACAGAACCGUCAUGUUCAGAAGAGUCUUACCGAUGGGAAAAGGGAAGACCUAAUUCACUGAAUGUGUCCCUUGUCACCACCUAAAUAUGCUGGCUGCGUGCUGAUCUUACAAACCGACUCACAGUUCUUUCUGCAAAAGUAGGUACCAACCUCAGGAGUCCCAUUUCCUCAAAAGCAUCGCAUCCCAUUUAGUGAGACCCCAUGGAGUCAGGUGCCAAGGGCACUAACACCGUGUUACAGUUCCCUCCCUAGUCAUACACUUAACAGCAUGGAUACAUCACAAGAUCACUUGUCAGUCCUUCUCAGUUUAAUGGGUCUUUGUUUUCCCGAGAACAACGGGAACUAGAGGAGCAGAGGUCUUGCAUCAUCCAACUAGAAAUAGCUGCUGUUAAAUGCGGCUCUCUGUUGUUGUCCAAGUUUCGAAAUGAAGUUGAUACUUGAAGAGAAAGUUCAUCUAUUGGAUGGUAUCCGAUUUCCAGUGAUGUCAUCUCCUCUAGGUGAUUAAGGACCUAUUUGGUUUUCCAAUCACGCAAAUCAGCAGCUCUCAAAGGGAAUUUUAAUCAGCGGCAUUGCCCGCUGUGCUAAGAGCGUCCCUGGGAACGGGGCACUGCUGACCUUUCCUGCAUAGCAAAUUUAAAUCUGAAGCAUUGCGCUGCUCAGGAUUUCUGCCAUUUCCCCGCGGUGGUACGAGAUUAGAGAUGAACUUUCAGGCUCAGCGUACAUUACAAACACAGACGCAUAAGCUGUGAAGAGUCAGAAGCAGAGCGAUGUCUUUCCCUGGAUGCAAAGGUCACUGCUGUUUGUGCCCAUUCAUUUCAGCUGACCAUGUCUUCCUACGCUGACUGUCCCAGUUAGAGAGCUCCAAUUGGAAAACAGCUGUCCUUCUGAGUGUGCAGCGUGGUCCGCAUCAAGAUUGCCUACUAAAUUUAACUUUGUUCUCAUUGGUAUGUCAAAGGAAAAGUAGUUUCCCGUGUCACAAAACAAACCUAAAUCGCUUCAUUAUUUUUUUUAAUGUGGAAAAUAAUGUUAUAUUUAUCAGAAUAGUACUAUGUGCCCUUGUAUCACUGAGGAGUAAAAAGGAAAGAAAAUCCCUAGGUAAAUAUUUUCACAGAGAUUCCUGUUGUCAAGAUAAGCACUUUUAAGGCGCUAACUCGUGAGGCUGCUUGCUGGGUCCUCAGGAAUUCAUUAAGCAGAAUGAGGAAUCACACAGCAAACAGACCCCUAACCACUGGCCAAAGCAAUGUAGGAAAAGUAUCAAUGCUGGUCACAUGAUCUCUGCUGUGAGGUUCCAAACUGUUUCCACCUUUCCAAAACUAUAAUCAUAAACGAUGUAGCCACGAAAUAACACGAGGGAUGCUACAUUGUAGCAAAUUAACAACUGAAGGCCCAGAAGAGGUGAGGUACAAGGACUUAACCUACAGUUAGACCAAAAUAUGAGGGAAAUGAGCAGCUUAGGGCUUCUGAUGCCCACUAUAACACGUAUUAUCAAAGGUCACUCUUGAAGGUCAUUCUGUAUUUUCACAUGUGUGGAGUGAAGUAUGUUUUCGUUUUAAUUCCAGGUGUAGGGAUACGGGGCUGCUUCCCAGCAGGUGACUAUGAUUUGCUCGUGCUCUAGUGGGGGCAUGAUUUUGCCAGCUACAGAUAGUUUCUGGGAGUGAGCGACAUUUGGAAUUCUGGGAACUUUCCAGAGGGUAUAUACAUGCUUGAGUGCCAAGAGGCAUGACAGGCUGAUAAGUUUGUUAAGUAGUUGUGUGCAAGGAAAAGAGGAGGAGGAGGAAGAGAAAGAGGAGGAGGAACAGGAGGAAGAGGAGAAAGAUGGGGAGAGAAAGAGGGAGAAAUUAGAUAUUCUGACAGCAAAGAGCAAACUUGCUCCAAGGAAUUCCAUGCCCCUAAAUCAGCAGGAAGUAAUGUAAGGCUACUGUUGCUCCCUUUCCCACCUGAUUUUAUUUGGGAUAUUUUUUUUCCUUUCUCUCUCCCCUCUAUCCUUUUCUCCUACCUAGUGUUAGGGACUUGAAAGAAGAAUCCAUAAAGUAUUAAAGGACAAUGACAUACCUGGCCUUGAAAGUUAAUUUUCAGUCUAAUUUAGAUAUCUACACAGUAAUCUUUAAUUCCCAAAUAAGUUAAUUACCUCUACAUAUCAGGAAACGCUUAAGAAUUUUUAUAUUUGUUAGAGGGAGGGAGGGAGGGAGAGACAGACAGAGAGAGCGAGAGAGAGACAGAGAGAGAGAGCGCAUGUGUGUUUGGAGAACAACUUGGAGGAAUUGCUUCCCUCCUCCCACCAUAUAAAUCUGGGGAUCAGGAUUGGCAAGAAGCAUCUUAACCAGCCAAACCAUCUCAUUAGCCCUCUUAAGAAACAUUUUAACGGUCUAGUUCUUCUAGAAUUGGCUCUUGGAGGAAUGGGAUGAGGAACUGUGGGAGGGCAGACUGGGAUGGGGGCAGUGGCUGGACUGUAAAAACAUAAAAGUGAUAAAGAAAGAGAAAGUUGUCUGUGAAAAGGAAAGGCAAUUGGCCUUUUAAACUGUAAAGUCAUAAACUCCGUAAUUGGCAUGGAGAAUCUGGGGCUUGGGACUGGGAUUUUCCUUUGGUUUCGCUUUCAUUGGAGGGCCAUCAGCUGUAUUACAAUGAUAGGCGGAUUUGGUCAUCUACUGUAUUACUCAUUGCUGGCACCAUUUGAAUGAGGCUUAACCUCUAAAAGAUGGGAGUCGGUUGGAGGUUCAGCAGGAAGUAAAGGCAAAGGACACUCAGUUUGGAAAUGACACAGAUAUGGCAUGGAUAGCACAGUGUCAACUAGAAACCGGACCUUGACCGUUGACGAGACAGCUCCAUCAUUCAAGUGAGUGCAGCCCCACCCCCACCCCAGCUCAGUUGUAAUUUUCCUAUCCAGGGGGCAGAAACAGGUCGUAGAUCCCGGGGCUCACUAGCCAGCCACCCCUGCCUACUUGGAGCAUUACAGGCCAUGGCGGAACCCAGCCUGAGGAUCCAGAGCCAGUUUGUGGUUGCUGGGGAAAGUAUUAUCUUCAGUGUAUGGCCACGGCUAAACCGCCCACGCUUGGGGAAAUAACCUAGCCAGCUUGUGUAAACAACUCUAAUUAAAUGUACAAAAAAUUUUAAUUUAAUUUAAUUUUAAAAAAUGAAAGAAAGGGUGGGGCUUGGGAAGAAGGGUUUCGGUAGGAAGGAGGAAGAGAAAGGGGAAUUUGGCGGGGGCAAGCAAUUUUUAAAAAGGGAAAAAAGCUUGCUCUGGAGCUAAAUUUGAGUGACUGAGACCCAGGAAACAGCACACAGAAGCAAAUUCAUGUAGUUUUAUCACAACAUACAGAGUCAUAAACCAAGACAUUUAAAAAUAAAUUGGUGACAACAUCCAACAGGCAGCAGUGACAAAAUGAGGAGACCCUCUCCCGUGGUCCUCAGAUGUUAUCUGACUGCAUUCUGAGUUGACGCAGACUAGUGGUCUGCUAAGUUAGAUUCCAAAAAAGGUUUUAUUAGUUACAGGACAUUAGUUUUUCGACUGAGAGGAUCAAGGAAUUAGUUAGUCCGGAGGCUUCAACCAGCCCAAGAUAAAGUGUAAUUAGGCUCUGGGCCUACAACAUUUCAACCCUCCGUGUCACAGCAAUUCUCAUCCGGCAAUCUGUCUGUGCAGCUCAGCUUCUUCCCAAGCUUCCCAUUAUAGGUAAAUGGUGCUGGAAGGACAUGCACACGCAUAGACAUAGACAUGGCACACACACACACACACACACACACACACACACCACAUAUAAAGCACAGAUACAUUGAGAAAGUAAGUUAUUUCUUAAACCAAAUUAAUUUUUUUUUAAGUUCAAAAUUGUCUUUGUGGUCUCUAUAUACUAUGGGCCUUAUAAAACAAAACAAUGAAAAAGCCGAAGCCAGAGAGUUGAGAACUCAUUUACUGUGUGUAAAGAAAGGGUGGGUGGAUGUCUGCGCCUUCUGCCUGUAUAAGCUAAGAAGAGUUGAGUAACCAAGACACCAGACUGGCCUGAGUAAUUCCAUGUAAACAUACCCCAUAUCCUCAAUAAUAAUUUAAUAACCUGAGUUUCAAAUAUAGCAGCUCACAGUUUGCAGAGUGCAAAGUGUCAGUCUUGGGGCUCAAGGUCAGAAUUCAAACCCAGAGCUAGCCUAUUCCGAGGGCUGCGUUCUCCGGAUUGGCCAUUCACCUCGUCCUACCGGGCAUGCGGGCAGGAUGGUCAACUGCAGCAAUUCUAAGAGCAGAACUGAGAGCAGCAGGCCGACCCAGUUUCCUAGAUCCACACUGUUCUUUUCUAAGAGGCCUGCAGCUCUAGCUUCACAGUGGGCAGGAUUUUCUGGUCCCGCUCUGAAUAGCGACAAGGAUGCCUACGCUAGAAAGUGUACCAAAAACACCGGGAAGCCAGUCUGAUGUGCUUGUCCCAGUCAAUAAAAUAACCCACCGCAAUGCAACCAAGCUUCUGCAACAGUCUAAAGAUAGAGACAGAGAAACCGAAGCCCAAGGUCAGGUUUUUAUAGGGUCCCACAUCCUACCACCUUGCUCUGAUCUUUGCAUAUUUCAGUAGCCAUGCUCUUGCAAUUCCCAGAACCAACAAUGUAUUUUUAGCAAUCUUGGGGUGGUCAUGACGGAACGGUUAACCUAAAAUCCAUAUGGAACCCACAGCGCUGAGAACAUUGAGGUAAACUUGGAAGUCAGCAACUGGAAAGAUAUUUCUAAAUCUGAGCCAGGGAAUAACUGACAAAGGAAAAACCCUGAGUGUCCCCAAACCAUCAGGCUUUCUCCUCAGCUCCCAUAAAGAAGUGAUAAGCAUGGAUCCCUUUCCCCCAGCAACACACGCCUGUCAAAUCUGGUUAACUGCAGCUCAGUACCAAAGCUACCUUGUACCGUGUGAGCAGGUUGGUGCUAAAGAAACACCUCAGGGUUCCCAGGCGGAAGUUCCCUGGACUACGUGUAACCUAAUUCACUGCGUAUGAGGACCAGCCUGCGUCUAGAGCAAAUUUAGAUUAAUGGGGUCUUUUAGAUCCUAUAGCAGAAUCAGGAAGAGGCAGGGCAAGAAUGUGUAAGUCGGAUAGGAGGAAGCUGAUGCUAGACGUUUUCUUAAAGGCCUUCAUGUAGUAUCUUUUUAAGCGUCAAAUGUUUGACAAUGUUGCUGUGGGAAAAGCCUCUGGUUUUGCUGCCCCUGCCCAUGAUAAGUAGGCACAGUUUAGUAGUUCUUAGGGCCUUAAGUGUCCCUGCAAGAGCCCCUAACUCAAGAGAAAUAGAUUCUGAACUGGGGUCACAGGCCCAUAAAUAGGGAUUGUGCUAAUAUUCCAGUAAAGCAAAGCAAAAUAAAACAAAACAAAACAUGUUCAAAUGAUUCAGGAGGGCUGCCUAGGGUAACUGCAAAACCCACAGUAGAAAGUUCUGAAGGCUGACGACUUGCCUUAUUUCUAACAAGCGCCAAUAAAAGCCUAUCAAAAAACAGCUCAUCUGAGGAGCAAAUAACAGAGUCUGCGAAUAGGAAUUUCAGCAAGGGGUUUCUGUACAGUCCGGAAGUUCUCAGGCAGAAGAGACAGUCCAGAGAGAAGGUUCACAGACAGGAAUCACAGAGGUCCGGAGAAGCACGGGCGCUGGCCCAGCCUUCUCUUGUCCCUGACUGCAUCAAGCCCGGCAUUAGCGACAGGCAGCUUUCUCCCAGGGGCCUCGGAACCUGACAGGAAAUGACCAAUAACACAUGGAUGAUCAGGACUUUCAAACUGCCCAUAAAAACGUCUAAAAACGGGUCAUAUCUUGUUCUUACCUUUUAGGUCACUUUUGAGUCAACUCCAGGGUUUUAAGCCAAACUCAGUAAGAGGGAAUUGUCACAAUAAAGCACCCCCAGAGAUCUCUAAUGGCCACCUGAACUUUUAAGAUGUUUUAAUUGUAUACUAUCAAUAUUGUUCCCAUUUAUAUUUUCUACAUAGAGCAAACGACAGCAAUGCAUAGAACAAAUAAACACCUUAGGAAGUGAA
RNAcentral lists this small RNA (9396 nucleotides) under Rattus norvegicus (Norway rat). RNAcentral's name for it is "uncharacterized LOC108351978". Lineage: Eukaryota; Metazoa; Chordata; Mammalia; Rodentia; Muridae. The record is from RNAcentral.